AUAAAUAAAUCUUUACUUUAUUUCCUAGGGGGUAAAAGUGCCAGGUUGCUGAAGGACUCAAAGUCCCGGAAGGGGGGAGAGCAAAUCACAGGUGGAUGAUUUCAUAUACAGCCUUCCAGCCCAUAGUCUAAACUCCAAAGCCUAAGAAACAUGUAAAAAAAAAUUAAAGAUAGUGUGACAACUACCGUACCCGGGUCCUCAAAAACUGAAAGUGAGAGUCUCCACAGCUUGAGCUACAGAGCCAGCCGCUCAAGGUCAGAACUGUGCCCGAGCAUCGCUGUGGAUUAGGCACAGGGAGGAGCAACCUCACACACAUUGACCAGUGAUUACAAUCCAUAUAAAAUUUGCACAUAUUUUGAUUGGUUCCCCUUCCCCUUGUACAUUGCUUGUUGGCUCAGGCCCCAAUCCUACAUCUGAAUCCAUAUAGCAGGACUCUUAUAGCCCAGAUGAGGUCUCACUGAAGUCAGUGGGUCUCUGCAGAGUUCCCAGAGUCCACAUGCAUGCAUCUGAUUGCAAACCUGCAGCCAAAGAUCAAGGCAGAGAGUUCCUGUGUGUGCGGACAAUGCCUACUACAUUGUGGAUGCUACCAGAAUAUAAAAGGAUUCAGUACUUUUCCAGGAGCUGCAGUCACCUUUCACUUAGAAAGGACACCAUCUUGUAUAAAUGACAGGUCUCCUGCUGCCAAGGAGCUUACAAUCUAAGGGCCCAAUCCUCCAAGAUGCUGAAUGACCCCUGCAAGGUAACAGAGCACCUUUAACUCCUAUUAAUACUAGUGGGAGAUGAGCACCCUUCAGGAGGUAUUCAGAUGUGGAAGAUACUUUGUACUUAAAUAUAUAGCUAAAUAUACUGUAUUUUAAGAUUGACAAGUAUGUAUACCAAUCAUGCAUUUCCCUUCUAGUACUUAUGUCACUUGUGCUGAUAUAGACUUUUCCAUUCUUAUUUUCUUUGCAAAAUAAAAUUAAUAUUUGAAUGUUUGUUCAUUAUGUUGUAAUGUAGUAGAAACAUACUAUUUAAAUGGUUGCAAAUAACUAGCUUCAAUAUUUUUCCUAUGCAAGUUAUAAACAAUUCAAGUAUUGAGUAAAUGAUCAUAAAAGUGUUAUCUGCAUGUUGUACUUCCAAAUACUUUAUUGCAUCCAUAAACAAGACUAACCUCAUCCAACAUUAAAAUGUAAGGAAUCAAAUGUAUAAGAUCACAUAAGUGGAAGAGAAGAAAAGUUAGUAAUCUGUUGCAUUUAAGAUGCUGAUUGUUUUAACCCACUCACAUUCCUUGAUGCUAGGAUUCUUGAAUAUUUAGAUCAACAAGCACUGCUUGUAGUAAACAUAGCAACUUUAAAGAGUGCAAAUAACUAAGAUGCUUUUCUGUGGUUGGAUUAUACAUCACUACUUUUGAUAUUUUGUCUAUUUUAAGUUCUAUCUUUCUCUCAUACCAACAGAUCAGGAGAGAAUUAGUCCCUUUAAUAAGAGGAUAUGUCUUUUACAUAUGAAAAGAAAGAAUUUAGAAAUGGCAAUGUGUUUUCCUGCCAAUCAAAAUGAUUAAGAAAUACAAAUAUUUAACAUGAUCAAUGAAGUAGACAGUAUUUCCCUCCAAUAUUUUACAUCAAGUUGAUACAAAAUACUCAAAGCAAUCUACACAAAGCUUCUGAUGCAAGAGCAGAUCAUUUUCACACGGUUUCUCUAUUUGGAAAGAUGGAUUCCUUCUCUUUUAGCAACAGAAGUAGAGCUAAGCAGGCAGACACUUUACAAUAUAUUUGUUUUAAUGAAGAAAUAGCCAACACAGUCAGAAAAAAUGUGUUCAAGUAAGGCGAGAACUGCUUCAACAAAGCCCUGCUCACACUGACAUGAACAUUUCUGCUGAAACAGGUCCGCAACAUACUACUUGACAACAGAACAGACUAUUUUCAUAUAUCCGUUUAAGGAAAAUCUCCUCCUCUUUUCUCCUCGCUACAUCAACAGGAGGAUUACUUGGCAUAAGUGUUCACAAAAAAUACUGUUUGCUCUCUGGCCUGAAGGAGCAAAGUCCACAUUUAUGGCAUGGAUUUGGAGUAAGUCUACUUAUCACUAAAGGAAUAUAUGAAAGCAGAAAAACAAAGUGGGUUUUUUCUUAUACUGUAAAGGAAAUUUGUUCAAGAAACAGAUGUCACAAGACAGCACAGCUUUGAGAGCUCACUUCACUGUCAAGUGACUUCCCAUGUGAUCAGCACAAGUCUGCGAUUCCAUUAGGCUUUUUUUUUUUUUUAGGCACAGGAAAAUUGAGGAUUUGAAAAGUAACGAUGUUGGACCCACUGUACUGUUUGUGAUAGCGCCAGCAAAGUAAAUAAAUCUUCUGUGAGGAAAGCUAGCAUUUCCACUGUGGAAAGUCCAAGUCUUCUAGACCAUUUGAAGUUCUAUAUCAAUAAAAUGAUGAUUAAAGUU
This is a long non-coding RNA of Trachemys scripta elegans, 2412 nucleotides long. RefSeq lists it as uncharacterized. Lineage: Eukaryota; Metazoa; Chordata; Testudines; Emydidae. The record is from RefSeq and is a predicted model, not a curated record. The transcript has 2 exons.